CAUUCCGAGGAGCGUUGCAGCCCAGGCGCAAAGCCUGGGCGAGGCUCGGAUUUCCCCUUCCCCCCUCGUGGCGGGGCGGGCACAAACAACGGCGCUCACCCACC
Molecule: non-coding RNA, 104 nt
Filed under: Burkholderiales bacterium
Lineage: Bacteria; Pseudomonadati; Pseudomonadota; Betaproteobacteria; Burkholderiales
Description: SAH sequence
Rfam family: SAH (S-adenosyl-L-homocysteine) riboswitch aptamer
Source: RNAcentral